UUUUUGGGGUCUUGUGGUCGCAUUAUGGGUGCUCUGGUUGUAUGCUGCUCUGCCUAAACAAUCCCCAAAAUAAGCACUCUUUUUAUCUGAAGCUGUGGUUUAGGAAGUAAAACACAGGUGUACCCACUUCCACCUGUGGAAGGGACCAGUGGGAACAGAUCUGUCACUUAGGAGCUCGGCACCACCCAGUAGAGUUCAACAAAUACAGGCUGUCACACAAAAACAUUAGAUGGUUGUUUAGAAUGGCUUCCUUACAGUCUUUAAGAAGAUUAAGUGCUGGCUUUUUUUCUUUGGUCUGAACUUUGUAGAGGGACACCAGAAAAAGAGAGAAUGUGGUGAAAGGCCUCAUAACAUGACCCAUAGUAAAUAGGUUUAUUGGAAAAAAUACAGGUGAAAAUGAAGAUAUGCCAUCCCCAUCCCUUUGGAGCAAGGCUUGUGGAAUAGUUGUCGCAGAGCUUCCUGAGGCAAAAAUUUGUAGACUUAAAAAAACCUCCUGGGCUGAGCAGUGGUGAGCCCUGGAGGGUGGUGGCUGUGAUCCCAACCAAAUAAAACAUGUAAACACAGAUUUAACCUUCGAAUCCCUGGGUAAUUCCACUGGCUUCUAUGGUAAGUGAUUUAUUGGACCGAGACCAAGAAUGCAGCACUUUUGGAAGAGUAACCCUUGCCAGCGUAUUUAAUGCCUGCUUUAACAAAUUUUCUGGGUCAGUUUCUUCCCUUUGUGUGCCCAGUGCUCAUCAUCCCCUCGGGCCUGUGCUUUGUGCCAUCAACCCACCAGCCACGAACCGAACCAUGAGCCCCAAGGGCACCAUGGGACAUCACCUCCUCUGGUGGGAGGGGAUGAUGCACACCGUCAUCUGCCAUGUUCUGAAGGUGUUAAAUUGUACAGAAAUAUAUCCCACAUCUUUGUGGAGCAGAGCAUUUGAAAUUAUACACAUUAAAGUCAAAUACAGGAAACUCCAGAUAGUGGAAAUAGAGAGGGGUUUGUUUGUUUUGUUUUUUGAAUGAUUAAUACCAAACAUUAUUUCAUUCAGUACUGAAAAUCCUCUGCACCAGCCAUUGCUAGGUAGUCAAUAAUUCAGCAAGACAGUGUUUAUACAGUGAAAGUUGGUGUAAAAUACAAUUUGCAAAGCUGCAAACUGGACUGAGCUUCUGUUUACAUUAAAUACAUAAACAGCAGAGUGGUUUGGGCUGUAUUUUGUGUGUGUCACACAUACAGUGCAUGAUGCGGCUCUUGUGUGUACACAGCCCACACAUAAAUAUUUCCCAUUAAUUUAUUCAGUUAGGAAAUCAAGUGCCCAUGACCAAGGACAGUGCACAAAGUGUGUAAUGUGAAGUUUAUAUGACGAUGGCAAUAAUCAUGUUUCCCAUUGCAGAUAAGGAUACUUAAUAUUUAUGUAGUGCUUUCCAUUUUAAAAGCAUUUUAAAAAUAGUAAUUAGCACAAGCCUAUCAAGGGAAAAAUAAUUUGAGGCACAGAUUCCUGUGAGUGAGAGAGGCCUUGGGAAAGCAGUAAUGCCAGAAGAGACUUAAAUGUAGUAAAUGACAGCAAAUUAGGCAUGAAUUUGGAAUAGUGAUUUGACAGCAAUGAAGACUAAUUCAAUUUUAGUCUAAUAAGCAGAGGUCUUCUGUCACUGAGGAUGCUGAAAUCUCGUUAGCAGAGGGAUAUUGACAGGUGGAGAGAUGGAGAGAAGAGCAGCGUACAUGGGAAAGACUUCUACCCAUAUCCUCUGUGGAGUCAGAUUUCCAGCUCUUGUGGAGUAUGUAAGAUGAUGAGGGAUCUGGAGCAUCUCCCUGAUGAGCAGAGACUGCAGGAGCUGGGCCUGGCUCCUGCUACCAGGAGCCCUGCUUUCAGUAGGAUUAUGAAUGAGAUUCCAUCCAAAGACCCUUUUUUUUUUUUAUUUUAUUCAUUGCACAUCCCAGCAUGCAGAAUUACUGGAAAAAAGCUUGACUUGAAACAAGUGCCAUCAGAGAGGGCUUGGAAGUUUGAGACCUAUUGGUGCAAGGGACCCCCCUGACAACAAACAAGAACAUUAAAGUAUUAGAAAAGAAGGAAAAGAGAGAAUUUUUUGUCUGUCCGCUAAGGAAAAAACAAACAAACAAACAAACAAAAAAUCCAACCAAAAACCCAACAACAACAGAAAAAAACCCCAAAACAAUGAAAAAACCCACCAAAAAAAAUCACUGGAAAGGAAACAACCCAACUACAUUGCUGCUGAGGCAUAAUCUGUUGUAAUUGUCCUCAGAACAGGUCUUUUUCCAUACCUUCCCCCGGUUAUGGGAGUAGGAACCUUGCUUGGUGAGAUGCUUGAAGGCAAAGCCAUGUCAGACUUCCCAGGGGAUGCUGUUUUACAGCUGUGAUUUGAUGUUGCCUAAGUUUCUCCUAGAGCUUUAACUUUGCUGGAAAGCACCCAAAGAUUCUUUCCUUUCUGAAGCUCCUUCUGUGAAAGCUGUGGCUAGUGGCGGGAGGAAAAUUCCAUAAAUUCAUCCGUUGUGGCGUUGCCUGUGCCAACACGAAUGCAAGUGUGUGCUUUUUCUGCUUCCAGUGGUUUUAACAAUGCACCAACACGAUGCAGUGUGGAAAAUAACAAUGAAAACCAAGUGCUGUUUGCAUUGCUAUGUGUGCAUUGUGCUGCCUGGAUCCCCCUGGCUAAUUUAUUGCCUCCAUGUUUCACUCUCGAGGUUAAACUAAGUCAUUAUCUUUUGAAUGAGGAGGUUUUCUUUCAUCUUAAGGUGUUAUUUCUCCUCUAAUGCCUAUGGCUAAAUGCACAAGAAAUUUGAUGGUGGGUUUGACAUAACAGUGAAUUCUUUUACAGUGGUUUGACAGUCCCUAACAGAUUUUAUAGCAGUUUUCAUUCAUUUAAUUGUAAAAUUCAUUACAAAUACCUUUCAUUAUGUAGAAAAUAAAUGCUAUGUGAUUGAUUUCCAAAGUUUUAAGGCUUUAUGGACAGAAGUUAAUUUUUCAAAGCUUUUCCUGGUCUUUUCCAACACCCUAAAGAAAAUGCUUUGUCUUAUUACUUGGCUGAUUUCCCUGAAAUGUUGAGCUGUGGGAUGAGACUUUGUUUAAACAGCUCCAGACCCUGCACUGUGUUAAUGUGGAUGAUUUUGGGAGGAGCAAACUGUGUUCCAGUAAAAACACAGCAAUAAAAUUUGCAACCUACGACUUCCGUUUGAUUAACCGGAUUCUUUGGGAUUUGGUUUCCAGCAUCGCAGAUUGGGUCAGUAAUUGAUAGUUCAUUGUGCUGCCAUGUAAUUCAUGGGGGGGUUUGUAGUUUGGGGUUUUUUUUUUUUUUUAGAAAACCACAGCACAGGCAUGACUGUCUCCUGGCCAGGGAGAGAGGACCGAUUAGGCAACAGGAACUUGGAUCACUGAACUGCUUCUUCAUGAUGGGCUCUCACACUCUUGGCAGGCCCUGGAUUUGGAGGAGUUUGUAAUCCUGGCUCAGCUGUUUGUGUGCUGUAAUGUGGAAAAUAGCAUCCAAGGGGAGGUAAAAGUAGGAAAAGUCAGGGGUGGAGAGCUGUCAGUGGACAGGAGAGCCUGAAUUACUCUCUGAAAUGCAUCAAUUAAAACAAUCAAAUAUAUCAAUAUAUCAAAUAUAUCAAAUCAAAUAAUCAAUAAUCAAAUAUAACUAUCAUGAUACCUUUAUGGAAAAUUAAUGCUAAUUAACCCAACUGAGCUCAAAGUGCAGCCUGUCUUUAUUUCAGUGAUCUCGUCAAUUAAAAAUACGUGUUGCUUGCCAUGUCAUCAGUACAAUGCGACAUCGUUUGCUGCUCUGUGGAAAUAGUUACAUCUUUAAAAUGAGGGGGUGGGGGGUUGUGCAUGAAAUCUGCCACAGUGUUAAAGUAUUAUUCCAUAAGCAAAGAAAUAGUUUAUGGUUCAAACUAAACCUGGUAAGUACCAACUUGCAGUUACUCAACAUUAACCGUGUUAGUGAGUGUCGUUUUCCAAAAUCAAUUCUGUCAUUUUGGAUUAUUUUCUGUGCGCUGUAUAUCAAGGGUGUUUGUCUUGACAGAAAGCAAGAUACACUCCUCUCUGUCCUAAAUUAUGUGUUUAAGAUGAAAAAUAGAAUGUAAGGAUGAAUUGCUGUGAUGAAACAUACGCAAAGUUAUUUUUAUGUGUCUUUUAUUGAGGUAACCGUAGUUCUGCUGGAAAUUUCCAUUUAACUUGAAGCCAUGGCUGUCCAGAUCUCAGGACUUGCUCCAAUUCAUUAAAUACUUCUUUGACAUCCAAGACAUGUUUGAUUUGGUUUUUUUUAGAUUCUUCUACUAAGUUUCUAGUAGCACAGAAAUACAAGCCUGAGUGAUAAAUGUACUUGAACAACCAGACUUAAGUAAAAGAUUGUCUCAAAAAAUGCUCUUUAUUCACCUUGUGGUUAUUGGUUUAAUAUUUACCUCUAGACUGUUUUUAGUGUAUUCACUCAGAAAUACCAGUUUAGCUUUGUGACAGGAACUGAAGAAUCUGGGAAUAAACACUGUCCUGUCCCAGCAGCAAACAGAACAACUCAUCUGUUCCCCUCCCACAAAGCUCUUCAAAAACAAAUUUACGUUGGUGCUUACUAUCUAUAUAUUUUGUCUGGCAAACAUAUAAAUUCAACAUCUGUCUUUCCGUCAUGUAUUAGACAGUCCCCAAAAACCAGUCAUAUAUAUCUGGUGUAUUUUAAAUGGAAAUUUUAGUGGCUUUGUUCUGUGUUGGAGAGGACACUUUUAAAAGCUUGGAUACACAGGAGAGUAUAAUCUGCAUUUCAGGUGCAGUGUGUUGCAGUAUUCAUUAAUAUUAGGUGUCAGACAGUGCUGGACAGUGCCACAUACUAUUCUAAUUCGUAAGCCUUUUUUCAUGUCUCCUCCCUAAACUCUGAAAUUAAAAUUUGAGAGAGACCUCAUGACUUUCUGAGAAUGUAUGUGGUUUAGUCUCGGAAAUAGUCACGCCUAAGAAAGACCAGAGCACCACUGGUGACAGGAACAUUGCACAACAAAUUUCAGGAAGAGCAGUGAAGGUUGCUAAGCAUUUUAUCUGUUGUGAGUAGGAAAAACACUGUAUGUGGAUGAGUGUAAUUAGGUCACUGGUUUGUGUACCCAAAGCCCUAGUUUCCCAAUGUUUCUUAGAAUUAACAUGGACGUAUAUUUAAUGUAUAUCUUUGAUUUGGCUGAAAAACAUAGCUGAGCAAUUCCUAACUGCCUACACAUAGUUAUAUUUAUAUACAUGGCUUCAUAGACAUAGAUUAUUCCAAGAGGAUAGGCAAGGACAUAUCCUCCUGAAAUUUGCUCAAUAGCCUCCAAUUUCAGAUACAGUGAGAUUGCCAGGCUCUGAGAUACACCUUUGAUGCUGCAGAGCUCCCUGAGUAUCUGUCACAUAAGGGACAAGUUCAGGAGGCCUGUGGACCACAGGUAUUUCCUUGGAUUUCUUAUGGAGGUUGGAUAUUGCAGGAUGCAAACGAGUGCUUGGAGCCAGAGGCUGCAAGAAUGACUGGGCAGCCACUUAGCAAACUGCCUUCAAGAUGUGUUGGAAAAAUCUGUUUCCAAAUCUCUCUUUUAAGGUUGUUUUAUUUCUCCCUUAAAUGACAGGGUUGGAAUUUGGCCUUGCAAAAUAGUUGUUAAUGCAAAGUGCUUUACUUAUUGUGCUUUUUUUGCAACAACAACUUUACCAGGAUUCUUAUCUGUGUGGUUUUUCUCAGUGGUAACAACUCUGGGAUAACAGAUUGUGGAAGGGGGGGAAAAAAGUGUUCCUGAGAAGGAAGGAGUGGUAGAGACCACCGGUGAUGUCUCUGCCCUGCCCAGCUGAGGAGAGGGGUGAUGGAGUAGCUUUUGUGGGCACUGGGGUCAGCCACCACAACAUGCUUAUUCCACACUGGACUUUUCAUUUAAUUUUAUCCCCUCCACCCCCAACCCUUACCCUAACUCUAGCCCCACCCCCGGCCAAAGAUUAUCUUAAACUUCCCAUAGCACAAAGAAGCACUGUGAACACAUUAACCCAGCAAACCCUUUAGUGCCUCUGGAACUCCCUUCUCCAUUACAGGGGUUUAUGUUUGGAAAUACAUCAUCCACUUGAGGUUCUGCUGGAGUUGCAGUAUACAUAACCUUUUUAAAAACUGCUCCUGGCCACCAAAUGCUUUCACCCAAGUGUUUCUCUCCCUCACCCAGCUUUGUAACACUUCAGUUUUUGAUCAUUCUACAGGCAUUUAAUCAUCAUGAAGACAUUUUUAACAGCACAGUGGUUCAUCAACUUCAAGCUGUGUGGAGGCCAAUCAGCUCUGGUGAGGCAGGACAGUGCCUGUGAGGGAAUUUGAAUUGUCUGGGGUUUUUUGCUUUAAAGAGAAGUGUCUUUGGGCUCAGCAUUCUCUCUAUCAAUUUAAUUCUGGCUAUUCAUCUUGUAUUGAUCUGAACUGCUCACCAGAGACAGUUGAACUGGAGUUUUUGUCUUUUCAGGCAACGAUUGAAAGAAAAAAAAACCCCACCUUUGAAUUAAGCAUCAUCUGCAAGAAGAGUUUUCUAGGAAUGUCUGGUUUUAUUACACUCCUGUUGUCUAAUUUGUGAUUGUUGACACGUAAUAAGCACACAGAAGUGCUGAAGAUGAAUGACUCAAUAUGAUAAAUCAGUAACUUCCCUUCCUCUGGCCCUGCCUCUGAGGCUUCAUUCCUUUUUUUGAUCCAAACUUCAAAAGAAUUUGGAUUUUUGUAUUAUCUCAUUUUUAAUCUCACUCUGCAAAAGGGGGAUGGCUGUUUUUAUCCUCUCUGGUUUUUCAAAGCAGUAACAGAGAAAUCUUACAAGAGGUAUUUCCUUUCAUGAUUUUCUGCUGUUUAAAGACUAGAGGAGGACUGGGUGGUUCUGAUAAACCUCCAGUCUACUUCCAAACCUUCUGAAUCUGCUUAUUUUUGUAGUUCCAGGAAUAGAUCUAGGGUGCUUACAGGAAGAAAAACAACAUCUUACUAUAUAAAUUCUGUCUGGGAACAUGUAUGUUUCUUACUGCUCUGGUUUUGUAGCAGCUUUAGCAAUCAAAUAAGAGGCUUUUUUUCCCCUUAUAUCUUGUCUUUCAACUCUUUCUUCUGCCUUUUGAGCUAUUGCUGUUGAGCAAUAUGAAGAGUCAGUUAAAUGUCCUUAUCUGGGGAUGCAAAGCUUUUGUGACACUGUCUGUGUGUAGCAUCAGCAUCAGUGCUUCCUUUGCAAGCAGCUGUAGGGAAAACUUCAGGCAAAAUAUGUUCUGCUGAUAAAUGUCAGUAUUCAGGCUAAAUCUGUUGACUCAUUUUGUAGUAUUUUAUUAUUUCCUCCUCAAUGCAACGUGUCCGCAGCCUAGAAAAUGAGGAACAAUUGAUAAAUUUUAGAUGAACGCUCUUCUAGAUCUUUGAAAUUUUUCCUGACUCCCACCCCGUCAAGGGUCUCAGGGCCCUGUAGAAUCCCAGAAAAUAAGUGGCUUACGUGUGUGUAAUAUCCUUUUGGCUAGUAAUAUCCAAUUUAUUAUUUAAAUUUAUAAUUUUAUUGGUGGUUUAUGUGGUGUUUCGGUGUUCUGCAGUUAAAUGGUCUGUUUGCUUGGUCUCACUGCAUUCUCAGCAGAAAACAGCCUGCAGUCUUUUUCUUCUGCAACAAAGAAAGGGUAGACUCCAAAGAAUUAUGUUAAGCUCAAAACUUGACAGUUUGACAGUCUCAAACCCUCACUGUAAUUGCUUUCAUUGGUUCCCACCACGUUUAGAAGGAGUUUCUAUUACUGUUGCCUGAAUAUUGUAUUGCAAUUAGCAAUACCAAAGAUGAAAACAGAAAAUGGAUUCCUCUUCUGGAAAGAAAAAAAUUGAGACAUCAGGUGAAGAAGUGUACUUGAAAAAUGUGCAUUACUCUUUUAAUGUUUCCCAGUACUAUAGGGUGGAUAAAACCUGGUGGUUUUCCAUGAAAUGGACUUGUUGUCAAUAACUCAAGAUGCAGGUGUAAUUCAGUUUUCAGUGGUACACCUGGGUUGUUUUACUCAGGCAGCAUCUCUUUUACAUGUACACCAUGAAAAUUCUACUCUGAUUGACAUCUGCCUUCUCCUAAUAAAGUCCCAGUAGCCCACCUGUGUGGUGUUCCCUUUUCUCUUAAUGCAUCUGUAAGAUUAAAAAUACAGCACUGCUCUUAAACUCACAAGAAGGCAGACUGUCUCAAUUUGUCAGCGGUGCAGCACCAGGACAAUUUCUAGGCCUCUCUGUGUAUUAAAAUUUUAUGAUGUUUGUGGCUUGAAUGCUUCUUUGAGCCAGACCAGUAUGAGAAAACUUGAGUGAAGGUACUUCAGGUUUGUACUAAUAGAUCACAGCUGAAGGUGAAGUCUGGCUUGGGCUGUGGAAUUGAGACAGCUGGCUGGUGGCCAUUCUGGGUGCACCUCCUUUCCGGCCUUAGGGAAAUCAUCUCAGCUGGGAUGUGACUGGUGCUGGUUUGGCAGCAGUUAAGCCCAUGACCUUCAUCACCAUAAUGCUGGAGAGAUCUGUGUGUGCAUGAGUGAGGUGAGCCUGUCCCUUGCUCCUGGUACAGCUUGUAUGCAAACUGCUCUGAAAUCUCUGAAAUUUAAGGGCUGAAGACUCUUUCUGUGAAUUUGACUAUUUGUGGAAAUAAAAAGUAAAGGGGCUCAUUAGGAAGAAAACUCCACUUUAUAUAAAAAUUUUCACAAGAAAACCAUGCAGGGACAGUCCUAUCCUUUUGGUUAGUGAGGGGUUUGUUGUUUGUUUAAGGAUGAUACAACUUUUCUUAAAAAUCUUGUAUUGUAGACUCCUUUGCAUCAUUUACCCAACAAGAAAUGACUUGGGUAUUUGGUCUGCUGUUAAAUGCUCCUGGUAAAGUACUUACUGCAGACCCUGAGAGCUCGAAUGGAUGGAGACCUGUUGAAGUUUUGGAGGAGAAAAACUGGCUUUUGAAGCUUCCUCAGCAGGCUAUCUUAUAGCAAUUGCAUCAGAAGCUGCAGAUAUUUCUGUUUCUUGUAAUAGUAGAAGAUAUAUUUUGAGAGUGGCUUCUUUACUCCACAAAACAGAUGUUUUGAUAGGUGGGCUCUCAAAGGGAGGAUUGUUAAAGCAUCUUAAACCACAUAUCUGGAGUGAAAAAAGGUAUUACUAGUGAGUUAGGAAGUCUUCUCAGCUCAUAUUCAUUUACUUUAUGCACCCCAAAGUCUACCUGUACCUAUUUUUCCAUUUUUCCUUGUGUUUUCAAUGGACUGGAUAUGCUGUGUCCUCUUCUGG
This is a long non-coding RNA of Pseudopipra pipra, 9180 nucleotides long. RefSeq lists it as uncharacterized. The record is from RefSeq and is a predicted model, not a curated record. NCBI's taxonomy places the organism in Eukaryota, Metazoa, Chordata, Aves, Passeriformes, Pipridae. The transcript is spliced from 3 exons.